UACGUAGGAUGCAAGCGUUGUCCGGAAUCACUGGGCGUAAAGCGCACGUAGGCGGACUCGUAGGUCAAUUGUGAAAUACCUGGGCUCAACCCAGGAACUGCAGUUGAAACCGCUUGUCUUGAAUACCUGAGAGGGUGGGGGAAUACCUGGUGGAGAAGUGAAAUUCGUAGAGAUCAGGUGGAACACCGGAGGCGAAGGCGCCUGCCUGGCAGUGUAUUGACGCUGAGGUGCGAAAGUGCGGGGAGCAAACAGG
This 253-nucleotide ribosomal RNA is filed under the name uncultured bacterium. RNAcentral describes it as "partial 16S ribosomal RNA". It matches the Rfam family "Bacterial small subunit ribosomal RNA", at positions 524 to 776 of the family's 1533-position model. The record is from RNAcentral.